ACUUUCAACAACGGAUCUCUUGGCUCUCGCAUCGAUGAAGAACGUAGCGAAGGCGAUAAGUGAUGUGAAUUGCAGAAUUCCGUGAAUCAUCGAAUCUUUGAACGCAAAUUGCGCUCUCUGGUAUCCGGAGAGUAUGCCUGUUUGAGGGUCAGU
Molecule: ribosomal RNA, 153 nt
Filed under: uncultured Glomus
Lineage: Eukaryota; Fungi; Glomeromycota; Glomeromycetes; Glomerales; Glomeraceae
Description: 5.8S ribosomal RNA
Rfam family: 5.8S ribosomal RNA
About the family: 5.8S ribosomal RNA (5.8S rRNA) is a component of the large subunit of the eukaryotic ribosome. It is transcribed by RNA polymerase I as part of the 45S precursor that also contains 18S and 28S rRNA.
Source: RNAcentral